CCUCACAGACACUGUUUACACACCUCCACCAAUGGGACCUCUCGUGUGACGGGAGUUGCGUUCAGAACUGGACUUUAUCUACCUGGGGAUUUAUUUGCUGAAAUAUGCUUUGCUGCCCAGCUGGAGAGAGGAGCCUCCUGAGCAGCCAAGGCAACACGCCACAGGAAAGACAGAGGGAAAACAGCUUGCAAAGCACCCCGCACAAGUUCGCAGCAAGAGGAUCCCUCGCCCAGCGGCUGCCGAAACCGGCCCCGUGGCCGCCCCACUCGGGAACCGUGCGAUUCAGCUGCUCAUCCAGGCUCCAGCCACACCGCUGGCUCAGCUCGGCCACCCCGGGACUGAAGCAGCGAUGCUCAGGGGUGAACCCGAAGAAGACGACACCCACAUACACCGGGGUGAAGGCAGCAGAAAGCAAACACAGGACAAAGAAGGUUUGCUUCUGGAACCUGUCAAAUUCUCCAACGUUCUCCAAAAUGUCAUCUAGGGUUGGCAUUUUGGCAUCAAAACCCCGCCAAAAACUUCAUCUAGGUCUUCUCUGCAGCACUGAUACAUUUAGUUGGCAGCAAAGCUAUUUAAGUAACAAAGACAUUUGACCAAAAGUCAAGACUAACUCCAUAAAUUAUUAAACUACAUGUUGCAAGCUUUA
Molecule: long non-coding RNA, 646 nt
Organism: Aquila chrysaetos chrysaetos
Lineage: Eukaryota; Metazoa; Chordata; Aves; Accipitriformes; Accipitridae
Exons: 2
Source: RefSeq, a predicted model, not a curated record